Molecule: transfer RNA, 75 nt
Filed under: bacterium
Lineage: Bacteria
Description: tRNA-Arg
Rfam family: tRNA
About the family: Transfer RNA (tRNA) molecules are approximately 80 nucleotides in length. Their secondary structure includes four short double-helical elements and three loops (D, anti-codon, and T loops).
Source: RNAcentral
GUUCCUUUAGUUAAACGGAUAUAACAGGGCUCUCCUAAAGCUCAGUUGUGAGUUCGAUUCUCGCAGGGAACGCCA